UUCCAAAGUGUUGAGUUCAGGUCAGGAUAACUUUCCUGGUCUGUUAAUUAAGCUUUGGGACAUUGAAGUUGGCCCAGGGAGAUGACUGAAUAGAAAGUACUUCUAUUCACUUCCUUCUUGCCUACACUA
Molecule: small nucleolar RNA, 129 nt
Organism: Jaculus jaculus (lesser Egyptian jerboa)
Lineage: Eukaryota; Metazoa; Chordata; Mammalia; Rodentia; Dipodidae
Source: RefSeq, a predicted model, not a curated record